Molecule: long non-coding RNA, 357 nt
Organism: Oncorhynchus tshawytscha (Chinook salmon)
Lineage: Eukaryota; Metazoa; Chordata; Actinopteri; Salmoniformes; Salmonidae
Source: Ensembl
GGUCUCUUUAUGAGGGGAGAGGAGAGGGUGGCUGAGGGUCUCUUUCUGUGGAGGAGAGGGUGGCUGGUGGUCUAUGUGGGGAGAGGAGAGGGUGGCUGAGGGUCUCUUUAUGUGGGGAGAGGAGAGGGGAGGAGAGGGUGGCUGAUGGUCUCUUUAUGUGGGGAGAGGAGAGGGAGGGAGAGGGUGGCUGAUGGUCUCUUUAUGUGGGGAGGGGAGAGGGUGGCUGAUGGUCUCUUUCUGUGGGGAGGGAGAGAGGGUGGCUGAUGGUCUCUUUAUGUGGGGAGAGGAGAGGGUGGCUGAUGGUCUCUUUCUGUGGGGAGGGGAGAGGGUGGCUGAUGGUCUCCAUGUGGGGGGAGG